Molecule: ribosomal RNA, 495 nt
Filed under: uncultured bacterium
Lineage: Bacteria
Description: bacterial SSU rRNA
Rfam family: Bacterial small subunit ribosomal RNA
Source: RNAcentral
GAUGAACGCUGGCGGCGUGCCUCAAACAUGCAAGUCGAGCGAGGCUAUGAAUUACCGCAAGGUAAGGCAUAGCCUAGCGGCGAACGGGUGAGUAACACGUGGGUAACCUACCUGGAAGACAGGGAUAACGAUUCGAAAGGGUCGCUAAUACCUGAUAAUAUCCAUCUGCCGGAUGGCGGAGGGAAGAAAGGGGAAACCCGCUUUCAGAUGGGCCCGCGUCCCAUCAGCUAGUUGGUAAGGUAAAGGCUUACCAAGGCGACGACGGGUAGCCGGUCUGAGAGGAUGUACGGCCACACUGGGACUGAGAUACGGCCCAGACUCCUACGGGAGGCAGCAGUUGGGAAUCUUAGGCAAUGGACGAAAGUCUGACCUAGCGACGCCGCGUGAGGGAAGAAGGCCUCGGUUGUAACUCUGUCAUGGGAAGAAGGAAGUGAGGUACCCAACGAGGAAGCCCUGCUAACUACGUGCCAGCAGCCGCGGUAACGAACGAGAGUA